This 64-nucleotide transfer RNA is filed under the name Marmota monax (woodchuck). RNAcentral's name for it is "tRNA.Ala". The stretch from base 3 to 59 matches the Rfam family "tRNA", at positions 9 to 63 of the family's 71-position model. From Rfam's summary of the family: Transfer RNA (tRNA) molecules are approximately 80 nucleotides in length. Their secondary structure includes four short double-helical elements and three loops (D, anti-codon, and T loops). The record is from RNAcentral. Lineage: Eukaryota; Metazoa; Chordata; Mammalia; Rodentia; Sciuridae.
GGAGCUCAGUAGGUAGAGUGCUUGCCUUGCAUGCACAAGGCCCUGGGUUCAAUCCCCAGCACCA